Molecule: transfer RNA, 91 nt
Filed under: Bacilli bacterium
Lineage: Bacteria; Bacillati; Bacillota; Bacilli
Description: tRNA-Ser
Rfam family: tRNA
About the family: Transfer RNA (tRNA) molecules are approximately 80 nucleotides in length. Their secondary structure includes four short double-helical elements and three loops (D, anti-codon, and T loops).
Source: RNAcentral
GGAGGAAUACCCAAGUGGCUGAAGGGGUUGGCUUGGAAAGCUAAUAGGCCCUUAACGGGGCGCAGGAGUUCGAAUCUCCUUUCCUCCGCCA